GGUGACUCUGAAUAACUGAGCAGAUCGCUUCGGUCUAGUACCGGCGACAUAUCUUUCAAGUGUCUGCCUUAUCAACUUUCGAUGGUAGUUUAUGUGCCUACCAUGGUUGUAACGGGUAACGGAGAAUUAGGGUUCGACUCCGGAGAGGGAGCCUGAGAAACGGCUACCACUUCC
Molecule: ribosomal RNA, 174 nt
Filed under: Theristus sp. FUM003
Lineage: Eukaryota; Metazoa; Nematoda; Chromadorea; Monhysterida; Xyalidae
Description: partial 18S ribosomal RNA
Rfam family: Eukaryotic small subunit ribosomal RNA
Source: RNAcentral